Molecule: long non-coding RNA, 977 nt
Organism: Populus euphratica (Euphrates poplar)
Lineage: Eukaryota; Viridiplantae; Streptophyta; Magnoliopsida; Malpighiales; Salicaceae
Exons: 2
Source: RefSeq, a predicted model, not a curated record
GUCUCACAUUCUAGACGGACAAACACAUAUUAUCUCUCACGCUCACUGUUACAUGGCUUUCUAGAGAGAGAAGCUCCGACCUCUCUCUAUAAAGCAAAUAAGAAAAAACUAAAGAGAGAACAAAACUUUACGGGGGCUGCCCUCGGCUAAAUAUAGUCGACUGCCCUCGGCUAAAUAUAGUCGGCAGUAAGCCCCUUAACAUCUUUUUAACAUUUUUUUUUUCCUUUUGUUCAUCUUCCCCCUUUUUUUCCAGAUCUAGAUCUAGUUUUUUUUACUAGUUCCUAGAAGUUGUGGCCAUAGGUGAAGUGGUUAGUAUGUUUGUAGUAUUUGGAGAAGACUUUCCUCCUUUGAGCUGCCAGUGGUUUUUUUGGGUAAGAAUGGGGCUGUAAUUUAUGGCCGAAAUUGGGUUAAUUUUUGUUGCAGGUUGCUGCUUGUGAUGAGGGGAAAGUUCGGAUAUGUUGCGGGUCUCCUGUUUGUGAGGGAGAAAAGAGAGAGUAGAUCGGGGGCUGGGUUUUUGGGGGGAGAUAGGGUCUGUUGAGGGGCCGCUGAUGUCGGCUUCAAAGGAGGAAGGAGAAAACGGGCAGCUGUGGUUUCUUGGCUGGUUUGGCGUCAGUUUCUUUACGGUGCUCCUGCUAGUAAUAGUGAGGAGAUCAGGUGUUUGGAUAUUGGGAGAAGAUCGGGUGAUUUAUGGGCUAUCAGUUUGAAAGGAGGAAGAAAGGGACGGCUGGUGUUUCCAGAUGGUUUUUGGCAUUGGUUUGAUGGUGUGGAGGAAGAGAGUGGCAUGGCUGGUGGGUCUGGCUAGGAUGGUUCAGGCUGGAGGGAGAUCUGGGAAAGGGUAGAAAUUAAUUUUGUUUUUCAGGGUUGCAUGGAAUCCUUUGUUUUCAAAUUUUAAUUUUGGUGCUGAUUACCCUAAAUUUACCUAGACUAAAAGAUGAUGCCUUGACAAGCGCAUCUGAGUUCAGUCUCUUUUCUUUAAU